GGCUAAUUAGCAUAAACAUACACGUCUAACUUCAGUCCACUUUAUACAAUCAUAUACAAAUCAAAUCUAAACUACACUAAACCAUUGCGUCUACAUUACUUAGGCAUCAACAUAUAACAGUCCAAACAGGUAGAGUUCCAUAAGUGCAAGGUAAACAUUUCUCCUUUGCAUUUCCACUUCAAAUUCAGUAUCAGUGCAUCAGGAGAGAAACAAAUACCUGGAUUUGAACAAUACAAGAAGAAGGAAAAGAGGUCAGCUGCAGCAAACGUAACAGCAGUAACCCAGCAACAGUUCACUAGCCGCAAAAUACCACAGCAAAUAAGAGUAACAUCACAGUUAUUCCUCAACCCCAGGAAUGAUUCAAACGACCCAAGAAAACAGCAGAAACCAAAGGAUUGACCCACAGCAAAACCAAAAAAAAACCAGAAUGAACUCCAGAAAAACCAACAACAACACCAAACAAAACCAGUAGCUAAUUGAACCCCAAACCCUUUAAAAUCAAACCGAAAAACAACCUGAGUUUCAAUUAAACAGUAACAACACUCAAAAUCAUUCCUCUCCCAAACUCACUCUCAAACUCUUAAAGUUUCAAAGUAUGGAAGAAUUCAGCUUUUAAGCUUUCAAGAAAACUGAUCCUUAAACUCUCAAAAAGAAACUGAAAGGAAACUGAUCUCUGUUGUUUUCCCAAUCAGCCUGAAUGGCUAUUUUUUUUCUUUUUCCUUUUUCUAACCUCUCUUUCUCUAGUCUCUUUAUCUUAGUGUGUUUUUCCUCUCCAAGCUUAAGACCUUCUUCUCCCUUUUUAUUCCGCUCUCCAAUUUUCAAUCACCCUUUGUUUUUCGGAUUUUUUUUAGGCCUUAGUGGGUAGUUAAUCAUUCUUAAAUUGGUCCUUUUAAAACAAAAAGUAGUCUUCCACUAAUAGUUGUCUAUUAACUAUUCAAUCCCACUUAGAAUGUCUCUCUUUUGACUAAUCCAUUAGUGUAUUACUCAUUAUCUAGUGGCCCCCUUAAUCCCAUUAUUAUUAAACUAAAGCAUUAGUUUAAUUUAAAAGGCACAUCAAGACCCUACUGGACAGACCACUCAAUUAAAGCAUUUUUCAAGUUUUGACACCCCAAAUUACCCUUGAAACCCCCUGUAAUUUAUUGCCUUAAUUCAAUCAGUUACAGUGCAGUGAACUGAACCAGUUCUCUAAAAAUCAAUAGCUAAACAAGACCAACAAAUUAACUACUACCAUUAAGACAAACUGUUACAAUCAGUAUUCAAAAACAGAAGCCAACCUACUAAAACACAAUGAACUGAAACUAAUUAACAUAGUAAAACUGAAUUCAGUAUCAAAUUCCAACUUGCAUUCAGAUUGGACAAAACAGUAUCCAAAUUUGAAUUAAUACAAAAAUACAUCAGUCCUAUGCAAAAUGCAGGAUUAUUAACAGUUCUAAAGGCCUAAGGAUCAAAAUAUAACAUAUUCGACAUCAAACCAUGAGAAUAAACGAACUACAAAUAAAACUAAAUUAAUCGACGAUAACUAAUUAAUCGAUUGCAUAUAACUAUUGACAACAAACAAUAAGAAAUAGAUAAACAGACAAUUUACGGGGCAUUGACAAAAAUAGGGAUUUAUAAUAAAAACUUAAUUAAUCGACGAAACUAUUCGAAUCGAUUAUACAACCUAUAAUAUAUACUCAGCAACGAACAGAAGUAAAUUUGACCAAAUAAAAAGGUCUGAGUGAGAAGAACAGAACAAUUGACAAAAAUGAAAAAAUUAAUAUAACAACUCUAAACAAAUAAACAGACAUUUAAAACAUCAAAAAUAGAAUAAAAGGAAAGAAAGAAAAAUACCUUAAAUGGAACAGAGAACAGACGGACUUGAAUUGACUCGGACUUGAACUUUUUGAGGUCAAACGGACCUUAAUCGAGUAUUCUCAACUUAGAACACUUCGACUAAGGUCAGUUAAACACCCAAAUUCCCUUCAAUUUCGGAUAGAAACCAGUUUUGGUUUUCUAGGGUUCCUACGUUUCGAUUUGGGGUUCGAGUGUUUCUAGCCAGAUUCGACCCAAACCAAAGGUGGUUUGGGCACGAGGGAGGUCAGGGGGUGCCAGGGUAUGAAUUUGGGCUUGGUUGGGGUAGGUUCGAGUUCUGCUCGAAUCUUCAAAUGGAGAUUCGAGAAGUUCCAAGUUGAUUCGAGGCAAGUGGUUCAUGGAUUUGGAUCGGGGGUGGUUAAAUGCAUAAGGGGUGUCAAUUUGGUGACCGACGGCGUUGCUGCCGCCGGGUUUCAGGCGAAGGAGUGCCAUGGCGGCUAGGGUUUGGUGAAGGAGGCUUCGUCUCUGAGAGAGAUGAUAAUGAACAG
RNAcentral lists this long non-coding RNA (2339 nucleotides) under Nicotiana tabacum (common tobacco). Its description in RNAcentral is "long non-coding RNA (NTAB_LNC018081)". Lineage: Eukaryota; Viridiplantae; Streptophyta; Magnoliopsida; Solanales; Solanaceae. The record is from RNAcentral.